GUACCUUUCUCGGCCUCUUGGCUAAGAUCAAGUGUAGUAUCUGUUCUUAUCAGUUUAAUAUCUGAUACGUGUAUCUACGGAUCCAUGAGAUAUUAAUUUAUUUAUUUUGUGGGGGAGAAACCGUCUAUGUAGCUCGCUGCAUGGACGGGUCUCGUGCGUCGUCCAAGUGUUGCACUUCUGCUUGGAACAGGCGCGCCCCUA
Small nuclear RNA from Aegilops tauschii subsp. strangulata, 201 nucleotides. RefSeq annotates it as U2 spliceosomal RNA. The record is from RefSeq and is a predicted model, not a curated record. Lineage: Eukaryota; Viridiplantae; Streptophyta; Magnoliopsida; Poales; Poaceae.